RNAcentral lists this transfer RNA (90 nucleotides) under marine bacterium AO1-C. It matches the Rfam family "tRNA". From Rfam's summary of the family: Transfer RNA (tRNA) molecules are approximately 80 nucleotides in length. Their secondary structure includes four short double-helical elements and three loops (D, anti-codon, and T loops). Further hydrogen bonds mediate the characteristic L-shaped molecular structure. tRNAs have two regions of fundamental functional importance: the anti-codon, which is responsible for specific mRNA codon recognition, and the 3' end, to which the tRNAs corresponding amino acid is attached (by aminoacyl-tRNA synthetases). tRNAs cope with the degeneracy of the genetic code in two manners: having more than one tRNA (with a specific anti-codon) for a particular amino acid; and 'wobble' base-pairing, i.e. permitting non-standard base-pairing at the 3rd anti-codon position. The record is from Rfam by way of RNAcentral. Lineage: Bacteria; Pseudomonadati; Bacteroidota; Cytophagia; Cytophagales; Cytophagaceae.
GGAGAGUUACCCAAGCGGUCGAAGGGAGCAGGUUACUAUCCUGCCAGGCCAUCUUUUGAUGGUGCGGGGGUUCGAAUCCCUCACUCUCUG